AAAUCAAUUAAAUUAUUUAUUUUGCAGUAUAGUGUUUAAUAUAUAUUGCACUGCAAAUUGUGUAUAUUACUUACAGAGGUACCAUGUCCCAGAGGAUGGAAAUUAUACGGCAAGUGUUAUCUCAUCUCGUCUUCUGCCAAAACCUGGUCUGAGGCUAGACAAGAUUGCCAAGCCAUGGGAGCUGAUCUGGUGACCAUCGACAGUGAAGAGGAACAAGCUUACAUUAGUGGGCUGGGGAGAUGGGGUUGGAUUGGACUACAAAGACGUGGGACGAGCUGGACGUGGGUGAACGGUAGACCACUCUCCAUCUCCAGAGGGCCCGUGAUCUGGGGAUCUGGACAGCCCAGCAAGACAGAGGAUUGUGUUAUGACCAGCUCUCACUGGGAAGACUAUCCAUGCUACUCUAAGUUUUACCCCAUUUGUGAAAAAUCGGCUAAAUAAAUCAGGAAGACAUCACUGUCCCACAUUCUGCUGUAUUGUAUAAUAAUGAAUGUUAAAAGAAAUGAAUAGCUCUCUGUGUACUGCAUCAUUACAUAACAUUUAUUCAUUUUCAUUAUUAUUUAGGCACUGGCUAUGGUACACACAAUUACCUUUAUUUCUGUUAUUGCUUAUUAAGAGAACAUGUUUAUGUUGUCAUUUAUGUGACACUCACACCUAUGAGACUGGAACUAUGUACCAUUUCCUUCCAUUGCACUCUCAUCCUCUGGUUGGUCUUGUGUUUGUAAAAACAGUUAUGUUGUCUGGUGUUUGUAAAAGUAGUUAUGUUGUUGCAUUGUUACC
Molecule: long non-coding RNA, 780 nt
Organism: Alosa alosa (allis shad)
Lineage: Eukaryota; Metazoa; Chordata; Actinopteri; Clupeiformes; Clupeidae
Exons: 3
Source: RefSeq, a predicted model, not a curated record